ACGCGAAAUCUCCCUUCGGGGAGAAGUAGAGUGGCGCACGGGUGAGUAACACGUAGGUAAUCUACCUUCGGAUGGGGAAUAACACCGAGAAAUCGGUGCUAAUACCGCAUAAUGCAGCGGCACCUAAUGGUGACAGUUGUUAAAGCGGGGGAUCGUAAGACCUCGCGUCUGAAGAGGAGCCUGCGGCGGAUUAGCUAGUUGGUAAGGUAAUGGCUUACCAAGGCGACGAUCCGUAACCGGCCUGAGAGGGCGGUCGGUCACACUGACACUGACAUACGGGUCAGACUCCUACGGGAGGCAGCAGUUGGGAAUUUUGGGCAAUGGGCGAAAGCCUGACCCAGCAACGCCGCGUGAAGGAUGAAAUCCCUCGGGAUGUAAACUUCGCAAGAACGGGAAGAAUAAGUCUGUGUUAAUAGCACAGGUGAUGACGGUACCGUUUGUAAGCUCCGGCUAACUCCGUGCCAGCAGCCGCGGUAA
This 477-nucleotide ribosomal RNA is filed under the name uncultured bacterium. RNAcentral describes it as "bacterial SSU rRNA". It matches the Rfam family "Bacterial small subunit ribosomal RNA", at positions 66 to 523 of the family's 1533-position model. The record is from RNAcentral.